CUCAUCAUCACACAUCAAUUCAAGCAACAAGCAAAAUGUACUCAAUCCUUUAUUAGAUUCAGAAACUCAACAAUGAAACAAAUCUCCGCUGGAUUUUUAUAUGGAAUUAGAACAAAUGUGACCAUGUUUUGGGUUUUUGGUGGCACUGAGGUGUUUAAGUGAUGAACACGGGUCGGAGAUGGUGACGGAGGCAUGAAACCCCACCGGGCUGCAUAGAUGAGAUACAAACAGGAACAGAGGGACAGAAAAAAAAAAGAACCAAAUAAAGAAAGAGGAAAAAAACAACAACCCCUCAAUGCUUCAAAGUGCGAUCCUGACUCGCAUUCGGGAAGCGUGUCCCUCCCAACACAAACAAAUCAUGGAACAGAACUGCAGGACAAAGUCUAGUAUGAGUAACGCACACACACACACACACACACACACACACACUACUCCGACCUCGCACACACAAACAUGAACUUUGUUACACGGUGGUCUCUCAUAAACAUAUCAUAUGCUAACAAUUUCUCAUACUUUUUUGUCUUUUUAAAAUUUAUUUUAUUAUUAUUUUGAGGACCCACAUAUACUCACUCACGCAAUAGUUAAAAGCAAAAAAGAAAAUAAAACUUAGUUGCACACUUCUUUUUUUUUUUGUUUUUAAAGUUUUUAAAACUUGUUUCGCAGUUUAAAGCAAAGCAAAUUAGGGACCGUGAUGUCCGAUUACUAGAAUAUUAUCAUUAGCCUCGACGACCUCAUGCAUCUUUUAUUCGUUUCAAUUCCUCUUUCCCCACCGACCUCGUUUGUCUUUUUCGCAGAUGUCGGGUGUUGUCUAGGCUGAAAUAACUAAUCAUAAAUUAAUAAUAAUGCUGCUUGUUUAAUUUUAUCUCCGUGUUUUCAAUUAAAAAAAAAAAAAAAAAAAAAAAAAAAAAAAAGUGUACCACCUCUGGAAGUGUAUUAGAAAAAUAUAUCAGCAUCAUGUCUGCGGAAUUAAAUCCGUUUUACUAAAUCAAGUGUUAAAUAUGGGUUGAAUAAUUGGUUUCCAUAUACUGUACUCAUUUCUCAUUUUUUUCCAACUCCCAAAAACAAACAAACAAAAUAAAAGGAAAAGCAAUGUGUGCUUCAUCCACUGUGUGCAUUACACUAUUGCAGCCACCAGGAGGCGCAAUCAGAAACUAAAACAGCAAAAAUGCAGGUUACAGGAUGUUCCAGAAAUCAGAGCAGCCAAAGAGCUCACAUUCAACGCUUCAAUGACAAAAUUAGAUACAUUUCUAGAUACAGUUCUUCACUUUGAACAAUGAACAGCUGUUUUGAAUUGAACAGAGCCGUUUGGCCCAAUGUGUUUACUAAAAACACGCCAAGAAACUGAAGCUGCACCAAUCCAAUCCAGAGUAAUCGGGCUGAAAUUCUGGCUCAGUAUCAGACUAAACAUUUUUAACAGAACCAUUAAUUAAAAUAAUUAAAAAAAAAAAAAAAAAAAAAAAAAAAAUUUGUUUUCCACUGGAAACGCAAAAUGAUAUUCUAUAUAAAAACACGUCUAAACUGUAGCUGGUCUGCAAUUUAUUUAUUACAAAAGAAGAAAUUUUUUUUUUGAUUUAUGAAGUAAAUAUAGAAAUAUUAAUUCACCUUGUAAGUUUUAUUUAAAAAAAAAAAAAAAAAAAAAAAAAAAAAAAAAAAAAAAGGAUUUGUUUUCUCGCAUAUUUUCCGUAUUUGUGAAUAAGGAAGAAUCUUCAGUAAAUGUCACACCUUCAAAACGGUAAAACACAAUCAUAAAUAAAAAAUAAACGACAAAACUGCUGGUGUGAGAAAGUGACAGGCUACAAUUACAGGGCUUUCGGACUUUUGUCAUUACUGUUAUGGUUAGGUUAGCUUAGUAAAGGAGUGACACUAGUGUGACCCCCCCCCCCCCCCACACACACACCAAUCAGACAGUACGACUCUAGAGUGUGAGCUAGAG
Long non-coding RNA from Ictalurus punctatus (channel catfish), 1933 nucleotides. The record is from Ensembl. NCBI's taxonomy places the organism in Eukaryota, Metazoa, Chordata, Actinopteri, Siluriformes, Ictaluridae.